AUUACAUUAAGUUAUUAACAAUAAAAAAUUAUUUAUACCUUUUUUAUUUCUAACUGUGUAGCAUGUAUAAAUACAUGUAUACAACCAAGAGUUUUCUCUUCUACAUAUCUAACAUUAAUUACAUAUUUAAUCAAGAAAAACAAAAUUGUUUGUGUAAACUAGACGAUUAAGAUACUUUGGAGAGAAUCUCAUAAAGAAUUCAGCCAAGAAACUCAAGUGAAAAUAACUUCCUCUAGAAGAUCAUCAAAAAUCAAGUCCUCCACCUCAAGCCCCGCGCAUUCACUGUCAAAUUGCAGGUUCAUCCACCCAUCACUCUUUGCUAAAUCUCCACUCACAAUAUGAUCCAAUAAUUGGUCAGCCUCUGGAAUUGAGCUCAAAUACCAGCUCAUAUUAGCCCACACCUCUUCAAGAACGUGCUGCCCUACAGGCAUUGGACGGAUGUGGGAAAGCGCAGACAAAGGCCUUGGAUAAUAGGUGUAUGAUUUUGCAUAAAUCUCCAUUAAUACCUCAUUGAUUAGAUCAAAUAAGAGCAGGUGAUUACAACGGUAACCUUCAACAUUUCCUGAACACUCAGGAUCAAGGACCAUACAAUCUUCUUCCAUUUCCUCAAAUAGACAAGGAUCCAUUGGUUGGUUAUUUGAAUGCCAUGUUCCAAGCAACUCAGUCCCGCUGAAACCUGAUAUUUCAAGUAUGUCUCUCACAUAAUCAAAUUCAGCCUUCUCUUUAGCACCCACAAGAAUUGUGAGAUGCUUGCUUAGAAUAUCAAUUUUUUCUGCUGUUGGUGUAUCCUUGCUAAUUGUUUCUAUUAGCUGGUCCUCCAAAGAAUCAAUUAUGCUGGGAAGGGGAGGGCUUGUCAUCCCUUCUAGAUCUGCUUCAACGUAUUGCAUAUCUUCUGAAAUGGGAAAACUUGCAGGAAUCGUUGUUUCCUCUUCACAUUUGGAAUCAGGCACAUGGACACUAUUGGGUUCUGCCAGUUCAAUAGAAGAUUUACUUUGGGUUUCCGUAUCCUCCUCCUCAGAUGCAUCUUCCAUUGUCAACAAGUUGCCCAAAUCAUCACCAACUAGACCCAACUCUGCUUCAGGGCAGAUAUCACACACUGUUGUCUUCCCCAACUGAUCUCCAUUAAUUGAAUUUGUUUCACUGUCCAUAGUCUGUUGAAUAUUACUUUCUACUCGACUUUCUGCAUCGAAU
RNAcentral lists this unclassified non-coding RNA (1191 nucleotides) under Hevea brasiliensis (rubber tree). The record is from RNAcentral. Lineage: Eukaryota; Viridiplantae; Streptophyta; Magnoliopsida; Malpighiales; Euphorbiaceae.